AAUCUGCAUGAAUAACUUCACAGGUUAAGUACACCAUACUGUUAGCAAAAGCAUUAGUAGUGAUAAAUUGCAUUCAUUGCAUCCAAUUUCAAGAGGGGCCACAAUGCUGUUCUAAGCCCAUGCGUUAGUUCUUAUGCACUUUUUCCUGGAAGAAAAGCACUUCGUUAUAUAUUGUUAAGAACAACAUGAUCAACCGAUAAUUUUUCUUAAACAAAAAGAGAUGGAACCUAGCUUUACCUGUUUA
This 244-nucleotide unclassified non-coding RNA is filed under the name Hevea brasiliensis (rubber tree). The record is from RNAcentral. Lineage: Eukaryota; Viridiplantae; Streptophyta; Magnoliopsida; Malpighiales; Euphorbiaceae.